RNAcentral lists this long non-coding RNA (248 nucleotides) under Homo sapiens (human). RNAcentral's name for it is "HSALNT0368294". Lineage: Eukaryota; Metazoa; Chordata; Mammalia; Primates; Hominidae. The record is from RNAcentral.
GACAAAAGCAUUUUAUUGAAGAUUCACCUGCAGAUGGAUAAGAGGGAAUGAGAGGAGUAGAAUGGGACACUAAGUGGCAGAGUCCCUGUCCCAGCACAGAAGAUCAUCCUGGGGCAGAGAGAGCCCAUGGGAUAGUGGAGGGGAUACUAGUAAGAUGAGCCCCAGAGACAGAGGAUGGAGGUGAAGUGAAGGAAGCACAGAGACACCAGUGCUGGGCCCAGCUGGACACAGUGAGCUGCAGGGACCUC